Molecule: long non-coding RNA, 5943 nt
Filed under: Sus scrofa (pig)
Lineage: Eukaryota; Metazoa; Chordata; Mammalia; Artiodactyla; Suidae
Description: lncRNA (ENSSSCG00015007488.1)
Source: RNAcentral
GGAUUCUUCCUUAUGAUGGCACAGAGCUUUGAGUGGGUCUGAGAGGCUCAGUAUUUCAGAAGUACAGACCCAUCUCUCUUCCCUUUAUUCACACUUCCUCGCCUCAAUUUCUCUUUCUGCCUGAUCAUCUGCAUCCUCUACCUUGGCCCUUCCCUCUUCUCUCCCCUUCCUGUCUACAUGCCUUUCCUUCUCCCCCUGUCUCCUUCCCUACCCACUUCUUGACACUCUCUCAAUCUCUUUUUCACUGCCUCCCUCUUCUCUUUCUCUCUCUCCCUCUCUCUCUCUUCCUCUCUCUCUCUCCCCACUUCCCCUACCCCCACCUGUCUUCCUCAUGGUCUCUCUCAGUCUUAACAUCUCUUUGUCACUCUCCAUUAUACAUGCUCUUUUCCCCUCUCAUUUCGUCUCUCACUAUUUUCUCCUUCCGUUCUAUUUCCCACCCUCGCUCUAACUAACUCCCUCCUUGUCUUCUGGCUUUGUCACUUUCUCUCUCUUUGUCUCCCUCUCUACCCCUCUUUUCUCAUUCCUUCCUUCUAUCCCUUCUUUUCAUUCCCCCUUCUAUCUCUCCCUAUUUGCCCAUACAUCAUUUCUCUUCCUGUAUCUCCCUCCCUUUCUAUCACGCCCUCCCUGCUCCCUUCCUCCCCCUUUCCACCUCUCUUCCCCCCGCCCCAUCCUCUCGUUCUCUGAACACAGGUCUCCUGUCUAGGAGCCCCCAGCUGCCUGGUGAAUUCAUUUCAGCAGCUAUUAGGGAUCAGCACCUGCCCUGAUACUUGGUAGUGAAGAUGAGUUUGAGAUAAGAUGGGCUGUUUCAAUCUCAGCACAUCUGUAAUUGCAUUACCAUUAAAUUGCACCAUUUUCCAAAGGUGAGAGCCCAGGGCCCUUGUGCUGAGAGUCUUCUGUAAAUCCACUGCCAAGUCCUGCAUGAUGUGGAGGCCCCAGGCAGGGAGGAGAGUAGACCCAGCUUGAUUUGACCACAGUAUUAAUCCCUCUUGUCUUCAGGGUCUCUUGUUUUCCAUUUUGUUUCAAAAGUAAAAUAACCCCUGGGAAUCAUUAUUUUCAAUCUUCUCAUGUCACAGACAAAGAAACUGAAGCUCAAAAAAAGGAAGGGAAUUGCCCAAGGUCACUCAGGCAUGAGCCACUGAGUCUGCAGAUGUCCUACACGCUGCAGUCAUCCUGAAAACUAGGACUAAGCAGGGAAAGGGAGGGGGAAGGGAAAAAGCAGGAUCCAGAAUUUUCAGGUUCCAGGAGGAAUGACUUUGGUCCAAUAUGCAAGGGUCUGCCAGAUCUAGGGGGUAGGAUACAAAAACAGUACAUGGAGCAGAGCAUAGCAACAUCAUGACUUCUUGUGGUCUGUCAGGUUUGGCCAGGGAUACAGAAAACAGGAUUCAGCCCCAAGGAGAGGACAAAGCUGGCAAAAGCUGAAUGGGGACUGGGUACAUUCGUUCUCCAGACAGAUGGGCUGGUAUGCAGGGUAGGACUUUAUUUCCAGCUAGGACCUGGGAGACACAACCAGGAAAUCAAUGCAGAAGGCAACACAUAAACCCAGACAAUAACACAGGGGCUGGCAGCAGGGACUGAAGUCCAGGAGCCUGUCCAGAUUGUGUCUGUAUGAAAAGAGAUGCUGGGAAGGAUAGAGCCUGGGAGAAUAAAGAUCAGGUUGGGCCAGAGCCUGGAAGCAGGGGAGACAAGACACAGAUGCUGGCUGGGGGUGAAUUCAGAGGGAGAAUCCACACUACGGAUUAGCCAUCAAGAAGCAUUCCAGAUAGGAGGUUAUGAGGCAAAAGCCGAUGAGCCCAGGGAAGUGUCGGUACUGGCAAAAAACACCAAGCAGGAGAACUCCAGGAGGCCAGAGAGUGUGUCACCUGACCCAGGAGUCUGUUCCCUUAGGUUCUGCCCUCCCUUGUUGGUGCCCUGGUUCCUGCUUCUUAAGGCAAAUAGAUGCAGGAUCAAGCAUAGCCUAGGCUUGCUGUGCAUUAGGGGGUCGUCCCCAGUGCCCAUCUACUGUUGACCUGCCUAAGGAAGGACACAUUUGGGCCCAGGGAGGGCAGGGAAAAUCUCCCCACAGUGGCCUCUGAUGGGUCUUGGAGCCCAGUGAGGCCCACUCCCCAGCUCGGGGCAGCAAUGGCACUAGGAACCUAAACAGGCAGGCUGAGCAGAUGUGGGUCCUCAGCACAUUAUCCCCAGCUCCAGGGAUGGGAGGCCAGCAAGCAAACAAACAAACAGCUAGCAAAUGUGUCCCUGUGCCCCAGGGGUCAUCCCGUGGCAGUGGCUACACCUGCUUUGGCAAAGCAGUUACUUUGAAGCCCAGCCUGAUGCAGAGAGAGCACGCAGCACCCAGGGACAAAACAGGGAAGGGGGGGUUAAUGAUAUGAAAUAGCUCUGUGUAUAAUCUGGGUGCACUAGGAGGGCUGCUGAGAGCCUCUAAAAGCUUCCCCGAGCUGGCUGGCCUCUGAGGCUGGCCCAUUAUGUUGUUUGUUGCCUUGUGAUCAGAAUGAAGCCAGUCCCUGCCAGCCCUGGUUCCAGCCAUGCUACUCCUUUCCCCCAACUCCAAGUACCCAUGGGGCCCCCACCAUGGGUCAACGGGCACAAGGCCAGCUGCCCCUGCAACUCUUAGAUAAAUCAAUUAGGAUAAAUGAGCUUAGUGAUGUGCAAUGCCCUUGCUCCACUGCGUGCCUUCUGAACUAUUAGUUCUCCGGAAAAGAUUAAUUACAGGCGUGCCGUAGUAAUGCUCUUUUAAUGGAAUCUGUUAUUUAAGUUUAAGAAGAGCAGGUAUUGAAUUUAUGGGAGUUAGAUACCUGUUAUGUGCAUCCCAAAUCAGGGGCGAUGAAUGGAGCUAACCUCUGGAUAGACCUGUUGAAACAGGAGAGCCAGUAAUCUCUCUGAAUCCUGCAGGAGGUUGUGCCAAGUCCUGGAAGGUUUUCCUGGAAUUGACUGCAUGUGUUUGUGGAAUUAACUUUUCAAUCUAUUUGAACAGGCACUAUUAUGUUGAUAGAAACAGAAUAGAAAAAUGGAAAAGGAGGUAUUGAAAGGAAGAGGCUGAGUGACCUUAAAUAAGUCAUGGAGUGCGGUGUACACAGAAAGAGCUUGUUUGAUUUGGAGUCAUAUUAAUAGAGGUAUGAUGUCACGAGCAAAGGAGGUUUGAGCCUUGCCCUAGACAGUCACAUAUAAAGCCAGCAGUGGCUAGAAUGAUGAGAAUCAGAAAAUUGAAUCCUAUGAAAGUUGCAAGUAGCUCCUAGGAAAUGAGGAUGGGAAAAAGCAAAGCUAGCAAACAUUCAGUCUCUAAAUCAGUGGUUCUUAGUCCUGGCUGCUUUUUAGAACCAUCUGAGAAAACCUUUAGAAAACACCAAUACCCAGGCCUCCUCCCCAGAAAUUCUGCUCCAAUUAGCCUUGAGGACCCAGUCAAUAGUAUUUUUUUUAAGUUCCUCAGGUCAUCUUAAUGUGUAGCCAAGGUUGAGAACCACUGACCUAAAGGAUGCCACGGUUAUCAGGAGGGGCUCUUAUGUGCAGCUCUGGAUCAUGAACACACAUGAAUAGAUGGAAGUUUUUGUCCCAAUAGGUUGGAAUCCCUUGGUGGGUAGACCAGCAGAGGAUGAGGAUGGAGUGAGCUGGCCGAAGGAGUUGAGCCAGGGUCUGGCUCCUGGGUAGAGGAUGUUAGCAAUUGAGCACAGCACUGAGCAGGUUGGACAAUCCGAGAGAGCCAUAGAGACCUGGCCUUCAUGCAACCAAUCUCACAUUUGUUUGUUGAACCUUUGUAAAGGAGAACACGCAGAGGUCAGCAAUGUCACCAGGAUUCCCGGAGCCCAAUGUGGGUUGGAGGCAGUGCAACAGGUGUCUCUGAACAGAAGCAACAUUCAGAGAUGGAUGGAAGGCUCAGAGCAUUAUGGGCAAAAGCUGAGUACAUUCAGAGCCCCAGACAACUGCCAGGUGCCCAGAAGGGGGCAUGGUCUUGCCCCCAGGAAAGAGGAAUCUGGCAGGAACUGGGCGGAAGACCCAGGGCCUCGCCCUCCCAGAUAAAAUCUCAUGACUGGGUUUCUAUCCCAGAAGAAUCAGUCAGAACCAGAAGCCCUUCUGGCCGUGCAUAGUGGGAGUGUGGUGUGGAGAAGGAAACACCCACUAGAGGCCAGGCCCUGAGAAGGAGCUCCAGGUCCACCAUCACUUCACUCCUAGCAAUGGCCCUGCAAUUGUAGGAAGUUGGGAACAUGUUACAGAAUUGAAAUCUGAGGCUGAGAGAGCUUUGUCACAGUCAGGGUCUGGCUGCAAAUAUCUUUCCAUGGACCCAGGCUGAGGGGCCAGGCUGCCCUGUGCCAAGGACUGAAGCCACACCAAUAACCUGCCAGGCCAGGUCCUCUCCCACCCCUAGAAUGGAUAAGACAGAAUCUGAGAGGAGUUCCCGUUGUGGCUCAGUGAUGACAGAUCCAACUAGUACGCAUUGAGGACAUGGGUUUGAUGCCUGGCCUUACUCAGAGGGUUAAGGAUCCGGCGUUGCCGUGAGCUGUGGUGUAGGUUGCAGAUGCAGCUCAGAUCCCACGUUUCUGUGGCUGUGGUGUAGGUCGGCAGCUACAACCCUGAUUCCACCCCUAGCCUGGGAAUCUCCAUAUGCUGUGGGUGUGGCCCCCAAAAGAUUAAAAAAUAAUAGUAAAAAUAAAUAAAUAAAUAAAUUUUUGAAAAGACAAAAUCUGAGAGUCUUCAGUCCCAGGAAAAUGAAGUGGGGGAUACAGGAUACUGUGUAUUGGAGAGACUGAGCCAGGAGUGGGUGAUAUGCACUGCUGGUUUCUCUAAACCAGAGAUUCUGAGAAGCUUCCAGGUCAUCUCUCAAAUGGGUUUAGCAGCCUCUGUGCUGUCCCCUGUGGACUGUGUUGUGCCCUGUGGGGUGAUGGAAUGAUGGGGUAUAAAAUGUUUAGAAAUGUUAUAGACCCCUGCGAUGAAGCUUGAUCCCCUCACACCUACACAUACACACAUCCACACAGACACAUACAUAAAUAUGUACCUAUACCCAUAGACCCAGACAUACGCAAUGCUCGACAAGUUACACUGUAUUUAUUUCCCUCUUCUCAUCCCCAAGCCUUUGACAAAGUCUUGUUUAACUACUCCAGCCCAGUCUCAACGAGGCCAAAAUCUUUCUAUGCUUGGGCCAGAAUAAGAAAUCAGGAGUAGGGGUGCCCUUUACUGCACAUAGAAGGUGCAUGAUAAAUAUUUGAUGAAGGAAAGAAUAGAUGAAUGAAUGAAUGAAUGAAUGAAUGAAUGAAUGAAAAGAGUGAAUGAUAUUGCACGGCAAUUGCAACCCUAACAACUCACACAUACAGAAAUUUUUAGAGUGAACGAUGAGCUUUAAUACAUUUUAUCUCAGAUAAUCCUGUAACAGGUAUUAUUCCCACUUGACAGAUGAGGCCUCUGAGGCUCAGAAAGGUCAAGUCACUUUCCCAAAGAUACACAGCCAGUAAAUGGAACAGGAGCUGUAGAGCCGAGAGCUGGGUGAGACCUGCACUUACAACACCUCAAGAGUUAUUGAGGCCCCCAGUGACCUGCCCGGAUCUCGCCUAGCCUCCCCCUGCCCCACUCGCUGCCUUCUUUUCUCCAUAGCGCUUCUCACUACCUGAGUUUAUGACUCAAGUAUUCAUGUAUCCUCUAUGGCCCAUCUCUCUCACUUGUAAGCAUGUUCCGGGAGGGCAGGGCUCUCUCCCUCUUGUGGAUCCCUGUGCCCAGUGCCCAGGACAGUGCCCGGCAUACAAAUGCCCCACCGAGCAUCGAUUCAUGCCUGGCUGAGGGAUUGCUCUGGGGGACAUGUGGGGGGCGUGGGUGGUAUUCUUGGUGACACGGCUGCCUCCUCCACGUCCUCCUUUGCAAAGGUUCAGUACACAAAUGUGAGGUUGGUUACCAAUUAUUUCUGCCAUUUUUCAUACAAUGGAGUUAACAGCUGGCUGAGCUACAAUACAUCAAUUGUGUAAA